CCUACGGGUGGCAGCAGUGAGGAAUAUUGGUCAAUGGACGAGAGUCUGAACCAGCCAAGUAGCGUGAAGGAUGACUGCCCUAUGGGUUGUAAACUUCUUUUAUAAAGGACUAAAACGAGGCACGUGUGCCUUUUUGCAUGUACUUUAUGAAUAAGGAUCGGCUAACUCCGUGCCAGCAGCCGCGGUAAUACGGAGGAUCCGAGCGUUAUCCGGAUUUAUUGGGUUUAAAGGGAGCGUAGAUGGGUUGUUAAGUCAGUUGUGAAAGUUUGCGGCUCAACCGUAAAAUUGCAAUUGAUACUGGCAGUCGUGAGUACAGUUGAGGUAGGCGGAAUUCGUGGUGUAGCGGUGAAAUGCUUAGAUAUCACGAAGAACCCCGAUUGCGAAGGCAGCUUACUAAACUGUGACUGACAUUGAUGCUCGAAAGUGUGGGUAUCAAACAGGAUUAGAUACCCGAGUAGUC
This 460-nucleotide ribosomal RNA is filed under the name uncultured bacterium. RNAcentral describes it as "partial 16S ribosomal RNA". It matches the Rfam family "Bacterial small subunit ribosomal RNA", at positions 338 to 795 of the family's 1533-position model. The record is from RNAcentral.